UACGAAGGGGGCUAGCGUUGUUCGGAAUUACUGGGCGUAAAGGGCGCGUAGGCGGCUGUGCAAGUCAGGUGUGAAAGCCCUGGGCUCAACCCAGGAUGUGCACUUGAUACUGCGCGGCUAGAGUGUCGGAGAGGAUGGUGGAAUUCCCAGUGUAGAGGUGAAAUUCGUAGAUAUUGGGAAGAACACCGGUGGCGAAGGCGACCAGCUGGACGACAACUGACGCUGAGGCGCGAAAGCGUGGGGAGCAAACAGG
This 253-nucleotide ribosomal RNA is filed under the name uncultured bacterium. Its description in RNAcentral is "partial 16S ribosomal RNA". It matches the Rfam family "Bacterial small subunit ribosomal RNA", at positions 524 to 776 of the family's 1533-position model. The record is from RNAcentral.